RNAcentral lists this ribosomal RNA (476 nucleotides) under uncultured bacterium. RNAcentral describes it as "bacterial SSU rRNA". It matches the Rfam family "Bacterial small subunit ribosomal RNA", at positions 24 to 518 of the family's 1533-position model. The record is from RNAcentral.
UCAGGACGAACGCUGGCGGCACGCCUAACACAUGCAAGUCGAACGGAGAUAUUUGGUUACUGAGAUAUCUUAGUGGCGGACGGGUGAGUAACACGUGAGCAACCUGCCUUUGAGAGAGGGAUAGCUUCUGGAAACGGAUGGUAAUACCUCAUAACGUAUACUUAAGGCAUCUUAGGUAUACCAAAGAUUUAUCACUCAAAGAUGGGCUCGCGUCUGAUUAGAUAGUUGGUGAGGUAACGGCUCACCAAGUCGACGAUCAGUAGCCGGACUGAGAGGUUGAACGGCCACAUUGGGACUGAGACACGGCCCAGACUCCUACGGGAGGCAGCAGUGGGGAAUAUUGCACAAUGGGGAAACCCUGAUGCAGCGAUGCCGCGUGGAGGAAGAAGGUUUUCGGAUUGUAAACUCCUGUCUUAAAGGACGAUAAUGACGGUACUUUAGGAGGAAGCUCCGGCUAACUACGUGCCAGCCGCAGC